CUGCUUUGCAAUGUCCCAGAUCUUAUGAGUUAGGACUUUCUUCAUUGGUGGGAUUUUCUGCACACUGGCCGUCCAAUCAUGCUGUAGGACUUCAAAGCAAUUAUUGAACGGACCUUUGUUGUUGUUACUCAGUUCAUUAGUUGCAACCUCAAGCAGAUGCGGGAGUUCGCUGAUAGUUGGAUUGAGUUCAUGAAAACCAGCUACCCUUUUUGGAGACAACUUUGAUGGAUUAUACCGUAACAUAUUCACCAGAAUAGUUCUAACAUCCCUAAGAUUCUGGAAAUACAAUUCUCUAGUUGACUGAUGAUGAGCAACAUUGAGAAAUUCUAAACACUUGAACCGGGGUAGAUACAGAAUAUCAUGAACUGUAAAUGCUUCAAGGCAGCGGUUCAUGCUGUGGUAGUGCUCGAGCAAUUCAAACAGCAACCUGUAAAUCCUCCGGCCAAAUUCACUCAGCAAUACACAGUACUCUGCAUUAAGCCAAAUUGGCCAAUUACCUCUGAAUUUAACAACCUCAAAUAAAUUGUCACCAGUUGAUAUUAUAAGUU
Molecule: non-coding RNA, 548 nt
Organism: Triticum urartu
Lineage: Eukaryota; Viridiplantae; Streptophyta; Magnoliopsida; Poales; Poaceae
Source: RefSeq, a predicted model, not a curated record